RNAcentral lists this ribosomal RNA (478 nucleotides) under uncultured bacterium. Its description in RNAcentral is "partial 16S ribosomal RNA". It matches the Rfam family "Bacterial small subunit ribosomal RNA", at positions 28 to 523 of the family's 1533-position model. The record is from RNAcentral.
GACGAACGCUGGCGGCGUGCUUAACACAUGCAAGUCGAACGGUAAGGCCCUUCGGGGUACACGAGUGGCGAACGGGUGAGUAACACGUGGGUGAUCUGCCCUGCACUUCGGGAUAAGCCUGGGAAACUGGGUCUAAUACCGGAUAGGACCACUGCCUGCAUGGGUGGUGGUGGAAAGCUUUUGCGGUGUGGGAUGGGCCCGCGGCCUAUCAGCUUGUUGGUGGGGUGAUGGCAUACCAAGGCGACGACGGGUAGCCGGCCUGAGAGGGUGACCGGCCACACUGGGACUGGGAUACUGCCCAGGCGCCUACGGGAGGCAGCGGUGGAGAAGAGUGCCCAAUGGGCGCAAGCCUGAUGCAGCGACGCCGCGUGGGGGAUGACGGCCUUCGGGUUGUAAACCUCUUACAGCACCGACGAAGCGCAAGUGACGGUAGGUGCAGAAGAAGGACCGGCCAACUACGUGCCAGCCGCCGCAGUAA